Molecule: ribosomal RNA, 402 nt
Filed under: uncultured microorganism
Description: bacterial SSU rRNA
Rfam family: Bacterial small subunit ribosomal RNA
Source: RNAcentral
GAGUUUGAUCAUGGCUCAGAUUGAACGCUGGCGGCAUGCCUUACACAUGCAAGUCGAACGGCAGCAUGAUCUAGCUUGCUAGAUUGAUGGCGAGUGGCGAACGGGUGAGUAAUACAUCGGAACGUGCCCUGUAGUGGGGGAUAACUAGUCGAAAGAUUAGCUAAUACCGCAUACGACCUGAGGGUGAAAGUGGGGGACCGCAAGGCCUCAUGCUAUAGGAGCGGCCGAUGUCUGAUUAGCUAGUUGGUGGGGUAAAGGCCCACCAAGGCGACGAUCAGUAGCUGGUCUGAGAGGACGAUCAGCCACACUGGGGCUGAGACACGGCCCAGACUCCUACGGGAGGCAGCAGUGGGGAAUUUUGGACAAUGGGCGAAAGCCUGAUCCAGCAAUGCCGCGUGUGUG